UAUUCUGCCCCACGGGGAAGGAUGAGAAGCUUCGACUAAGGUUCGACUCGAGCGAAGCGAGAGAACGUUGCCGCAGGCAACGGCCCGAAGGGCGAGGAGCGAUAGCGACGAGUU
Molecule: small RNA, 114 nt
Filed under: Klebsiella pneumoniae
Lineage: Bacteria; Pseudomonadati; Pseudomonadota; Gammaproteobacteria; Enterobacterales; Enterobacteriaceae
Also listed under: 1 other name
Description: partial RtT sRNA
Rfam family: RtT RNA
About the family: This family represents a bacterial cis-regulatory element known as RtT RNA. The exact function of RtT is unknown although it is thought that it may be involved in changing the cellular response in relation to amino acid starvation.
Source: RNAcentral